RNAcentral lists this microRNA precursor (187 nucleotides) under Oryza rufipogon (brownbeard rice). RNAcentral describes it as "MIR812 microRNA precursor family". It matches the Rfam family "MIR812 microRNA precursor family". The record is from Rfam by way of RNAcentral. Lineage: Eukaryota; Viridiplantae; Streptophyta; Magnoliopsida; Poales; Poaceae.
UUUAAGUACAGUCAUAGUUUUCCGCGUCCAACUUUGAUCGUCUGUCUUAUUUAAUUUUUUUUUUAAAAAAAUAAAAACAUAAGUCAUAAGUAAAUUACUAUUCAUAUUUUAUCAUCUCAUAACAAGAAAAAUACUAAUUUAAAAAAAUUGUAAAUAAGACGGACGAUCAAAGUUGAGCACGAAAACU